RNAcentral lists this ribosomal RNA (657 nucleotides) under uncultured bacterium. RNAcentral's name for it is "bacterial SSU rRNA". It matches the Rfam family "Bacterial small subunit ribosomal RNA", at positions 738 to 1395 of the family's 1533-position model. The record is from RNAcentral.
UACUGACGCUCAUGGACGAAAGCCAGGGGAGCGAAAGGGAUUAGAUACCCCUGUAGUCCUGGCCGUAAACGAUGAACACUAGAUGUUGGGGGAAUCGACCCCCUCGGUGUCGUAGCUAACGCGUUAAGUGUUCCGCCUGGGGAGUACGCACGCAAGUGUGAAACUCAAAGGAAUUGACGGGGGCCCGCACAAGCGGUGGAGUAUGUGGUUUAAUUCGAUGCAACGCGAAGAACCUUACCAAGGCUUGACAUCCUGCGAAUCUCCGAGAAAUUGGAGAGUGCCUUCGGGAACGCAGUGACAGGUGGUGCAUGGCUGUCGUCAGCUCGUGUCGUGAGAUGUUGGGUUAAGUCCCGCAACGAGCGCAACCCACGUUUUUAGUUGCCAGCAUUCAGUUGGGCACUCUAGAAAGACUGCCGGUGACAAACCGGAGGAAGGUGUGGACGACGUCAAGUCAUCAUGCCCCUUACGCCUUGGGCUACACACGUACUACAAUGCUGCGGACAAAGAGUAGCGAUCUUGCGAAAGUUAGCUAAUCUCGUAAACCGUGGCUCAGUUCAGAUCGUAGGCUGCAACUCGCCUACGUGAAGGAGGAAUCGCUAGUAAUCGCAGGUCAGCAUACUGCGGUGAAUACGUUCCCGGGCCUUGUACACACCGCCC